GGGGCGUCGCGGCUAGGGUCGCUCGCCUCCGGCACACCCAAGGCCAGCCCAAGGUUGUGGCUGACCCGCUCCCUGUGAGGUGAUGGCACGGUGGAACUGCAGCGCGUGCAGCCGGUGGCUAAGAUUCCGCGGGAGGUCGCGCCGUCACAGUGGAAGAUGCGAACUCGAUGCAAACUCAACAGGCAAAGGCGCAAGAACAUACCUACGGACGAUGAAGUGGCAGGAGCUCCGUCCAUGCUGAAGAACACCGUAGAUGUUGAUCCACAGAGAGGACAAUUUCCUAUCAAUCUUGAUCUAUUCUCCUUUGAUCCGGGGGCAACAACAAUGGAAUAGAUUGGUAUGAGAAAGGAUGGAUGAAGCCACGAAGAGAUUUUGGCGGCAAUCCGGUCUUGCCGCCGGCGACGGACCUGAACGGUGAAUUUCUCGGUCGGAAUCCUCCCUCACAGUGGAAUGAGUGGCUGUGGAAGAGGGAGUGGCAGCAGCGGUACGCCGGGAUAAGGCAAAGAAAAACUGGUUUCAGUAAAUUAAGAAAAGAAAAACGUUUUAUUAAAUGGUGGGGUCCUACCAGGACAGGUGUCGGCCACCCGUUGGCCCUGCACGAUAAUGCGUGCUGGGAACCCUGCAGGAGAGCCCGACCCGAGUCGUGGCCUGCAUGUGCGGGAGAAGCUGGUCGAGUGGAGCGGCCGUAGCUGAGUCGUGUGUGUGUGCGCCUGUGUGAGCCAGCGGGUAUAAAGACCCUCCUCAUGUACUGAUCAAAGUGCGCCGGUAUGAGCCGAGCCUAGGACCAGAGAUGAGGUAGUCUCCACCGGGGCCGUGGUGUGCGCCCGGUCGGCUGUGAGAAAGAGCUCCUCUGGAUAGGCUGCGGUGUGUUGCCAUGCCCGGGUAUAUGCCCAGUAAAGUGAGGUCGUUCGUGCGGCCGAGGCGCCGUUCAUGCGGCGGAGGCGUUUAUGCGCCGGAAAAAUUGUGUGCUCCAUCUUCCACCUUCUUUUAUGUGAGUGAGAGAAAAAGAGCUAUCUGGGUUUGUCCCAACACCGCCUGCCGGGCCUUGGGGCGCGAGAGGAUGGCGCGGAGGAGAUCAUCCGGCAGCGCGCUCAGCGGCUCAGGCGGUCAUCGCCCGCAUCCCCGCCGCCGCCGUCGUCUGCGUGGCAUGGACGCUUCGGCUCGGUGGCGACAAGCAUUUCUGUUGUUCUAGAUUGGCGCGCGCAGUACGCAGCAGACAACUAAUCUGCUGCUGGGUGUAGCUGCGCCGCCGCCGCCAUGGCUUCAGAGAAAGAUGGGAUCGGGGGGAUUCGGAAGUGAGGAGAAAGACCGGGAGAAAGCCCUUGGACUGUACUCUAUAUAUGCAUAGAACGGGCCCUUUCUAUCU
Triticum urartu is the source of this 1366-nucleotide long non-coding RNA. RefSeq lists it as uncharacterized. The record is from RefSeq and is a predicted model, not a curated record. Lineage: Eukaryota; Viridiplantae; Streptophyta; Magnoliopsida; Poales; Poaceae.